RNAcentral lists this long non-coding RNA (561 nucleotides) under Phoenix dactylifera (date palm). RNAcentral describes it as "long non-coding RNA (PDAC_LNC020846)". The record is from RNAcentral. Lineage: Eukaryota; Viridiplantae; Streptophyta; Magnoliopsida; Arecales; Arecaceae.
GCGUGCCGGUCACGUGGGGCAUGGUGGCUGAGUUCCCCCGUAAUAGUAGCCCCCCACUUCCGAGCCUGGAGCCAGAAGGGGAACGGGUGAAGGAAGUGAUGCUUCGAGAUUGUCGCCAUCCCCCGGAGAGGCGCGCGCGCUUCGAGCUCCCCGCCUUCUUUAUGGCGUAUGGCGGUUGUUGCUGACCUGGCAGUCUGAGGAUUUCGGCGGACAUCCUUCCUUAAUGGCGUCGAUUCGCCUUUGGGGCGCGAGCGAUCCUUCGGCAGCCAGGCGUCCUCUGGCGUCACCGAGGCGUCACCCACCUUUCCGCCUAUUUAACCGGGGGUCCUCCUCCGUCCGCCUUUCUCUUUACAGACAUCUUCGAGUUUCUCCUUGGCGCUGCCGUCAUCGCCGUCGGACUGUUCGCUUGCUCCUCCUUUGACGCUCUCGGAGCCGUUCUUCCUUCUCUUCCGGUGAGUUGCUCCAUUCUUUAAUUUAGGGCUCUCCAUACUCUCCUUUUGUAUUAGUGUACUCCAGUCGUUCCGGUCUUUUCCCCCUUCUCGACCCUGUCCUGACCGUAGA